UGGUGGAGCGAUUUGUCUGGUUAAUUCCGGUAACGAACGAGACUCUGGCCUAUUAAAUAGUUCGCCGAUUCCGAUCUGCCGGCGUUAACUUCUUAGAGGGACAAGUGGCUUUUAGCCACGCGAGAUUGAGCAAUAACA
This 138-nucleotide ribosomal RNA is filed under the name uncultured eukaryote. RNAcentral describes it as "partial 18S ribosomal RNA". It matches the Rfam family "Eukaryotic small subunit ribosomal RNA", at positions 1299 to 1458 of the family's 1831-position model. The record is from RNAcentral.